This 482-nucleotide ribosomal RNA is filed under the name uncultured bacterium. RNAcentral describes it as "partial 16S ribosomal RNA". It matches the Rfam family "Bacterial small subunit ribosomal RNA", at positions 28 to 507 of the family's 1533-position model. The record is from RNAcentral.
GAUGAACGCUAGCGGCAGGCCUAAUACAUGCAAGUCGAACGAGAUUACGAGGCUUGCUUCUUAUGAAAGUGGCGCACGGGUGCGUAACGCGUAUGCAACCUACCUUAAUCAGGGGGAUAGCCCGAAGAAAUUCGGAUUAAGACCGCAUAAAAACACAGGAUAGCAUUAUCCAAUGUUCAAAUAUUUAUAGGAUUAAGAUGGGCAUGCGUGUCAUUAGCUAGUUGGCGGGGCAACGGCCCACCAAGGCGACGAUGACUAGGGGAUCUGAGAGGAUGACCCCCCACACUGGUACUGAGACACGGACCAGACUCCUACGGGAGGCAGCAGUAAGGAAUAUUGGUCAAUGGAGGGAACUCUGAACCAGCCAUGCCGCGUGCAGGAAGACAGCCCUCUGGGUCGUAAACUGCUUUUAUUCGGGAAUAAACCUUUCUACGUGUAGGAAGCUGAAUGUACCGAAGGAAUAAGGAGCGGCUAACUCCGUG